GGGGUGGUAGCUUAAUUGGUUAAAGCGUGGGUUUGCAAACAUUAAAACAUGAUACCAAAAUUGUAGGUUCGAGUCCUACUCACUCCA
Molecule: transfer RNA, 87 nt
Filed under: Croceibacter phage P2559Y
Lineage: Duplodnaviria; Heunggongvirae; Uroviricota; Caudoviricetes
Rfam family: tRNA
About the family: Transfer RNA (tRNA) molecules are approximately 80 nucleotides in length. Their secondary structure includes four short double-helical elements and three loops (D, anti-codon, and T loops).
Source: Rfam by way of RNAcentral